Molecule: non-coding RNA, 72 nt
Organism: Sus scrofa (pig)
Lineage: Eukaryota; Metazoa; Chordata; Mammalia; Artiodactyla; Suidae
Source: Rfam
UCCCUGGUGGUCUAGUGCUUAGGACUCAGUGCUUCCAAUGCUGCAGCCUGGGUUCAGUCCCUGGUCUGGGAA